AUACUACUCCCUCUGUCCGAAAAUACUUGUCAUCAAAAUGGAUAAAAAAGGACGUAUCUAGAACUAACAUACGUCUAGAUACAUCUCCUUUUAUUCAUUUUGAUGACAAGUAUUUCCGGACGGAGGGAGUAAUCU
Non-coding RNA from Triticum aestivum (bread wheat), 135 nucleotides. The record is from Rfam. NCBI's taxonomy places the organism in Eukaryota, Viridiplantae, Streptophyta, Magnoliopsida, Poales, Poaceae.